AUGGACCAGAGUCUGGUAGGACCGGACUAGUGUUACCAGAGUCUGGUAGGACCCAGGUAGUGUAUGUACCAGAGUCUGGUAGGACCAGGGUAGUGGACCAGAG
This is a long non-coding RNA of Etheostoma spectabile (orangethroat darter), 103 nucleotides long. RefSeq lists it as uncharacterized. The record is from RefSeq and is a predicted model, not a curated record. The transcript is spliced from 3 exons. NCBI's taxonomy places the organism in Eukaryota, Metazoa, Chordata, Actinopteri, Perciformes, Percidae.